GGGGGGGGGGGGGGGGGGGGGGGGGGGGGGGGGGGGGGGGGGGGGGGCGGGGGUGGCUGGGUGGGGUGGUGGCGGGCGGGUGAGUGCCGCGGGGGUAACCUGCCCUGGAGUCUUGGAUAAGCCUGGGAACCUAGGUCUAAUCCCGGAUCGGGGCGCCUACCGCCUGGUGGGUGUUGGAAAGGUUGAUCGGUUUUGGAUGGACUCGCGGCCUAUCAGCUUGUUGGUGAGGGAAUGGCUCACCAAGGCGACGACGGGUCACCGGCCUGAGAGGGUGACCGGCCACACUGGGACUGAGACACGGCCCAGACUCCUACGGGAGGCAGCAGUGGGGAAUAUUGCACAAUGGGCGAAAGCCUGAUGCAGCGACGCCGCGUGAGGGAUGACGGCCUUCGGGUUGUAAACCUCUUUCAGUAGGGAAGAAGCGAAAGUGACGGUACCUGCAGAAGAAGCACCGGCUAGCUACGUG
Molecule: ribosomal RNA, 466 nt
Filed under: uncultured bacterium
Lineage: Bacteria
Description: partial 16S ribosomal RNA
Rfam family: Bacterial small subunit ribosomal RNA (bases 53-466)
Source: RNAcentral